RNAcentral lists this long non-coding RNA (376 nucleotides) under Ananas comosus (pineapple). RNAcentral's name for it is "long non-coding RNA (ACOM_LNC035561)". The record is from RNAcentral. Lineage: Eukaryota; Viridiplantae; Streptophyta; Magnoliopsida; Poales; Bromeliaceae.
UCUGAUACCACAACUAUGUCACACCCCACCCCGAAACCACUACCCAUUUGGCACGGUUCGGCCACGGCGGCAGACCGCUGAACGGACAGCACCUCCCCUGUCCGCCCAAGGCUCAACAACAGGAAUGUGUACAAGAAUUUACCCAGGAAUUUAAAUUCUAAACAUACACAUCCACAAGGACACAAACAGUGCUAACAAAACAAAGAGCAAGCAAUCCACAAGAUAUAACAUGUGAAAUAAAGAGAGUACUUUACUAACUGUUACAACAGUUCCAUCAUUCUCAUUUACAUCAUUUUCUUUAAAUGAUUACAUUUUCAUCUCCAAAAUAUAUACUCUCCAAAUCCUCACCUACAAUGAAUCUCUCUCUCAAUACAUA